AGUGAACGCUGGCGGUAGGCCUAACACAUGCAAGUCGAACGGCAGCACAGUAAGAGCUUGCUCUUACGGGUGGCGAGUGGCGGACGGGUGAGGAAUACAUCGGAAUCUACUUUUUCGUGGGGGAUAACGUAGGGAAACUUACGCUAAUACCGCAUACGACCUACGGGUGAAAGCAGGGGAUCUUCGGACCUUGCGCGAUUGAAUGAGCCGAUGUCGGAUUAGCUAGUUGGCGGGGUAAAGGCCCACCAAGGCGACGAUCCGUAGCUGGUCUGAGAGGAUGAUCAGCCACACUGGAACUGAGACACGGUCCAGACUCCUAAGGGAGGCAGCAGUGGGGAAUAUUGGACAAUGGGCGCAAGCCUGAUCCAGCCAUACCGCGUGGGUGAAGAAGGCCUUCGGGUUGUAAAGCCCUUUUGUUGGGAAAGAAAAGCAGCAGGUUAAUACCCCGCUGUUCUGACGGUACCCAAAGAAUAAGCAACGGCUAACUUCGUG
Molecule: ribosomal RNA, 492 nt
Filed under: uncultured bacterium
Lineage: Bacteria
Description: partial 16S ribosomal RNA
Rfam family: Bacterial small subunit ribosomal RNA
Source: RNAcentral